GGCCUCGUAGCUCAGUUGGCAGAGCAGCAGACUCUUAAUCUGCGGGUCGUGGGUUCGAGCCCCACCGGGGUCA
RNAcentral lists this transfer RNA (73 nucleotides) under Bacteroidales bacterium. Its description in RNAcentral is "tRNA-Lys". It matches the Rfam family "tRNA". Rfam says of the family: Transfer RNA (tRNA) molecules are approximately 80 nucleotides in length. Their secondary structure includes four short double-helical elements and three loops (D, anti-codon, and T loops). Further hydrogen bonds mediate the characteristic L-shaped molecular structure. tRNAs have two regions of fundamental functional importance: the anti-codon, which is responsible for specific mRNA codon recognition, and the 3' end, to which the tRNAs corresponding amino acid is attached (by aminoacyl-tRNA synthetases). tRNAs cope with the degeneracy of the genetic code in two manners: having more than one tRNA (with a specific anti-codon) for a particular amino acid; and 'wobble' base-pairing, i.e. permitting non-standard base-pairing at the 3rd anti-codon position. The record is from RNAcentral. Lineage: Bacteria; Pseudomonadati; Bacteroidota; Bacteroidia; Bacteroidales.